RNAcentral lists this ribosomal RNA (250 nucleotides) under uncultured bacterium. RNAcentral's name for it is "partial 16S ribosomal RNA". It matches the Rfam family "Bacterial small subunit ribosomal RNA", at positions 524 to 773 of the family's 1533-position model. The record is from RNAcentral.
UACAGAGGGUGCGAGCGUUAAUCGGAAUGACUGGGCGUAAAGGGUGCGUAGGUGGUUAUUUAAGUUAGUUGUGAAAGCCCUGGGCUCAACCUGGGAAUUGCAACUAAAACUGAGUAGCUAGAGUAGGUGAGAGGAGUGUGGAAUUUCCGGUGUAGCGGUGAAAUGCGUAGAGAUCGGAAAGAACACCAGUGGCGAAGGCGGCACUCUGGCACCAUACUGACACUGAGGCACGAAGGCGUGGGGAGCAAAC